Long non-coding RNA from Triticum aestivum (bread wheat), 515 nucleotides. RefSeq lists it as uncharacterized. The transcript has 3 exons. The record is from RefSeq and is a predicted model, not a curated record. Lineage: Eukaryota; Viridiplantae; Streptophyta; Magnoliopsida; Poales; Poaceae.
CAAGAUGUGAGCUAGAGGAGCAUCCUGGAAACGAUGCGGCAGCGGGCAUCUCGGAGCGGGCCGAGUUCCAGUUAGUCUACGUGCCCACCGUGAUAGUCGACCUCGUGCUUCGCUCCCACACCUGCUCCGAGAAGGCGCUCCUAGCUCGCCUACGUGGUCGGUUGCCCCAGGAUGUAGCUUGGGAAGGUCAGACUGUUGGAGUUGAAGCAGUUGUAGAUUUCUUCAAGGCAAAAAUAAAGCAUUUGCACUUGGUGAGAUGAAAAAGAGGAUGGCACAGGUGAUGCAAGGAACCGACGGCCUGUUUGCAGCGAAGAAGGUGAGGCGUGAGCAGCCGCGCAUGUAAUGGCCAGUGGAGGGCGGCUAGGGAAGGCGGUGGCGGUGUUUUCGUGCGGCGAGGUCGCCGUCCAGGAAGGCGAAGGCGAUGAUGUUUCUGAGCGGCGAGGGGAUAUCCGUGGGAUAUGUUUCUUGUUUUUGGAUUUGCAAGGUCAAUUAUUAUUUGUGGGAAUGGAGGAUAC